This 251-nucleotide ribosomal RNA is filed under the name Bacillus licheniformis. Its description in RNAcentral is "partial 16S ribosomal RNA". It matches the Rfam family "Bacterial small subunit ribosomal RNA", at positions 631 to 869 of the family's 1533-position model. Lineage: Bacteria; Bacillati; Bacillota; Bacilli; Caryophanales; Bacillaceae. The record is from RNAcentral.
AACUGGGGAACUUGAGUGCAGAAGAGGCGAGUGGAAUUCCACGUGUUGCGGUGAAAUGCGUAGAGAUGUGGAGGAACACCAGUGGCGAAGGCGACUCUCUGGUCUGUAACUGACGUUGAGGCGCGAAAGCGUGGGGUGCGAACAGGAUUAGAUACCCUGGUAGUCCACGCCCGUAACCGAUGAAGUGGUAAGUGUUAGAGGGUUUCACGCCCCUUUUGAGUGGCUAUGCAGCAAGAACGCAUUUAAGCAGU